Molecule: ribosomal RNA, 467 nt
Filed under: uncultured bacterium
Lineage: Bacteria
Description: partial 16S ribosomal RNA
Rfam family: Bacterial small subunit ribosomal RNA
Source: RNAcentral
GACGAACGCUGGCGGCGUGCUUAACACAUGCAAGUCGAACGGAAAGGCCCUGCUUUUGUGGGGUGCUCGAGUGGCGAACGGGUGAGUAACACGUGAGUAACCUGCCCUUGACUUUGGGAUACCUCAGGAAACUGGGGGUAAUACCGGGAAGGAGCUUCUGCUUGCUGGGUGGGGGUGGGAAGGUUCGGCGGUUGGGGAUGGACUCGCGGCUUAUCAGCUUGUUGGGCGGGUAGUGGCUUACCAAGGCUUUGACGGGUAGCCGGCCUGAGAGGGGGACCGGCCACAUUGGGACUGAGAUACGGCCCAGACUCCUACGGGAGGCAGCAGUGGGGAAUAUUGCACAAUGGGCGGAAGCCUGAUGCAGCAACGCCGCGUGCGGGAUGACGGCCUUCGGGUUGUAAACCGCUUUCGCCUGUGACGAAGCGUGAGUGACGGUAAUGGGUAAAGAAGCACCGGCUAACUACGUG